UGUUCCGGUGCCGUCGGCCGUCUUUUCCAAGGACCACGGGAGAGAAAGAAACCCCACCAAGCCCCACCCCUCCCGCCCACGGCGCACACUCACUCGCGCGAGUGAACAUCACCAACUGGAGUGGAUAUGCCACAGGUUGCCUGCCCUACGCUCAGCGCAACACAGCACGGCACACAACCCCAGACACACAAACGGCCCCCGCCGGGAGUGACGUCCCGUUGCGAGGGCCUGCCCACCAAGGAAGAAAGCCCCUUCCCG
This 258-nucleotide non-coding RNA is filed under the name Streptomyces sp. AVP053U2. RNAcentral's name for it is "Streptomyces sRNA 4677". It matches the Rfam family "Streptomyces sRNA 4677". Rfam says of the family: Located in the intergenic region between anti-sigma factor SCO4677 gene and a putative regulatory protein gene SCO4676. scr4677 expression requires the SCO4677 activity and scr4677 sRNA itself seem to affect the levels of the SCO4676-associated transcripts. Lineage: Bacteria; Bacillati; Actinomycetota; Actinomycetes; Kitasatosporales; Streptomycetaceae. The record is from Rfam by way of RNAcentral.